This 29-nucleotide non-coding RNA is filed under the name Homo sapiens (human). Lineage: Eukaryota; Metazoa; Chordata; Mammalia; Primates; Hominidae. The record is from RNAcentral.
GCACUUGGCCUAUGUACUGAUUUGUGGGA